CCUCACAGCUCAGUUAGUAAAGAGUCUGCCUGCAAUGCAGGAGACCUGGGUUCGAUUCCUAGGUCAGGA
This 69-nucleotide transfer RNA is filed under the name Bos taurus (domestic cattle). It matches the Rfam family "tRNA". From Rfam's summary of the family: Transfer RNA (tRNA) molecules are approximately 80 nucleotides in length. Lineage: Eukaryota; Metazoa; Chordata; Mammalia; Artiodactyla; Bovidae. The record is from Rfam by way of RNAcentral.